UACGUAUGGUGCAAGCGUUAUCCGGAUUUACUGGGUGUAAAGGGAGCGUAGGCGGCGCGCCAAGUCUGAUGUGAAACCCCGGGGCUCAACCCCGGGCAUGCAUUGGAAACUGGCGGGCUGGAGUGCCGGAGAGGUAAGCGGAAUUCCUAGUGUAGCGGUGAAAUGCGUAGAUAUUAGGAGGAACACCAGUGGCGAAGGCGGCUUACUGGACGGCAACUGACGCUGAGGCUCGAAAGCGUGGGGAGCAAACAGG
RNAcentral lists this ribosomal RNA (253 nucleotides) under uncultured bacterium. Its description in RNAcentral is "partial 16S ribosomal RNA". It matches the Rfam family "Bacterial small subunit ribosomal RNA", at positions 524 to 776 of the family's 1533-position model. The record is from RNAcentral.